UGUUGACAUUAUAGUUGCGCAGGAACUUUGUUAACUCUAGAGAAACUCGGGCAAAUCGCACAUCCCCGUGGCGGCGACUUUCAAUGCGGACGUCAUCCAUAUCAACUUUCGAUGCCAGUUUCUGCGCCUACCAUGGUGACCACGGGUAACGGGGAAUCAGGGUUCCAUUCUGUACAGGGACCCUGAGAAAUGGCUACCACAUGCAAGGAAGACAGCAGGCGUGCAAAUGAUACACUCCCAACGCGGGAAGGUAGUUACGACA
Pelobates cultripes (western spadefoot toad) is the source of this 262-nucleotide non-coding RNA. The record is from the annotation of a GenBank genome assembly. Lineage: Eukaryota; Metazoa; Chordata; Amphibia; Anura; Pelobatidae.